Molecule: ribosomal RNA, 468 nt
Filed under: uncultured bacterium
Lineage: Bacteria
Description: partial 16S ribosomal RNA
Rfam family: Bacterial small subunit ribosomal RNA
Source: RNAcentral
GACGAACGCUGGCGGCGUGCUUAACACAUGCAAGUCGAACGGAAAGGCCCUGGUUUUGUGGGGUGCUCGAGUGGCGAACGGGUGAGUAACACGUGAGUAACCUGCCCUUGACUUUGGGAUAACUUCAGGAAACUGGGGCUAAUACCGGAUAGGAGCUCCUGCUGCAUGGUGUGUGCUUGAAAGUUUCGGCGGCUGGGGAUGGACUCGCGGCUUAUCAGCUUGUUGGUGGGGUAGGGGCUUCCCAUGGCUUUGGCGGCGAGCCGUCCUGAGAGGGUGACAAGCCCCAUUGGGACUGAGAUACGGGCCAGACUCAUACGUGAGGAAGAGGUGGAAGAUAUUGCACGAUGGGCGGAAGGCGGAUGCAACAACGUCGCGUGCGGAAGGACGGCCGUCGGGUUGUAAACCGUUUGAGCCUGUGACGAAGCGUGAGUGACGGUAAUUGGUAAAGAAGCACCGGCUAACUACGUG